AGGUCCUAAUUAAUUUUGAUUUGGUACUUUUGAGACUCAUUCCCCUCAUAUGGAAAACAAACAAUAUCUUCCUUUUUCUCCUUAAAAUUUUCAAACCUUUUCUAAUUUCCCACUAUUUAAACCAACCUUAUUUCCUCCUCUUUCUCCUAUCAAACCAUUCACUCCUACAUCCCCGCCAUUUCUCUCUCUUUCCAAGAAAACUAAAACCAUGGGACAAGAAAUCCUAACCAAACAGACCUUAAGCUCUCCGGCUGAUAACAUGAUCAAAGUCACCAAUAUCAAGAACCAGGAGACAGAAAAUACCGCCGGAAAUUUCACGUCGUCGGAAAAUUCCGGCGAAAAUUCACCGGAAAACGAGAAAGCAGGAGUUGUUUAUCCGCACGAGAAUCUUCCGAGGCCUGAACCACCGUCGGGAGUAAACGGCGACGUUUUGAAAUUUCCGUCGGAAAAUAGUUUUUCCGUCGAUGUUCCGACCAUUGGAAAAUAUCUGUUGGAGACUAAGAAUAGUCUUUCGGCUGCCAUUUCGAGGAGGUUGUCGUUAGACGACGUCGUUAAAGGAGGUUGUGGUGUGACUGAAUUUUACGUGUCUGGUCUUCAAGUUGUUGUGCGAGCGAAAGGAGGAGAGAAUGAUGGUUUUGUGUCUGAGGAGAGUUCCGAGUUGACUCAGCUUAAAGGACGAGUCACUUUGUUUUCGAGAUCCAAUUGCAGGGAUAGCGGCGCAGCGAGAAAAAUCCUGAGAGAAAAGGGGUUAAAAUACGCCGAAAUAAACCUCGACGUAUAUCCGACCCGAGAAAAAGAGCUAGUAGACCGGACCGGCGGUUCAACGGUACCACAAAUAUUCUUUAACGAGAAGUUAAUAGGCGGUUUAGUGGCGUUAAAUUCAUUAAGAAAUAGCGGUUUGUUGAACCGGACAGCAAAAGAACUGCUUUGUAGCAAAUGCCCAGAUGAUGCUCCUGGACCGCCGGUUUAUGGGUUUGAUGAACCGGAGGAAGAACGGUUGGAUGAGAUGGAUGAGAUUGUUAAAGUUUUGCGGCUAAGAUUACCUAUCCUAGACCGUUUGAUUCGGAUGAGAAUUGUCAAGAACUGUUUUACUGGUACUGAGUUGGUGGAUACCAUCGUACACCACUUUGGCAAAUCCCGUGUUGAGGCAAUAGGGACAGCAAAAGAGAUUGUUAGGAAGCACUUCAUCCACCAUGUAUUCAGAGGGAACUAUUUUGAGGAUGGAAAUGAAGCCUAUAGGUUCCUCGAGCAUGAGCCAUUCAUUCCAAAAUGCCUAAAUUUUCGAGGAUCCAUAGAUGACAGAGAGCCAGAAUCGGCAUUAAGGAUUGGCCAUAGACUGAUGAAGAUCAUGUCUGCCAUACUUGAAUCUUAUUCAUCUGAAAACCGGGAUCAUCUGAAUUACUUGGCUAUCAGCAACAGCGAAGAAUUUCGAAGAUAUGUGAAUAUGGUUCAAAAUCUCCAGAGAGUGGAUCUUUUUGCUCUGUUACCUGAUGAGAAGCUGGCUUUCUUCCUAAAUCUUUACAAUGCAAUGGUCAUACAUGCUGUAAUAAUGAGAGGAUAUCCAAAAGGGAUGAUCGAGAGGAAGUCAUUUGUUUCCGACAUUCAGUAUGUAGUUGGUGGAAGUUCAUAUUCUCUUAAUGCAAUAAGGAAUGGUAUACUCAGAAGCAAUCAGAGGGCUCCUUAUGCUUUGGUUAAGCCUUUCAGUGCUGGAGAUAAUCGCCUUCAGUUAGCUUUACCGAUGGUGAAUCCGUUGAUUCACUUUGGACUCUGUGAUGGUAGUAAGUCUAGUCCACCAGUUAGAUUCUUCUCACCUCAAAGUGUGCAAGCGGAGCUCAGAGCUGCCGCGAGAGAGUUCUUCAGGCGCAAUGUAAUACAAGUGGAUUUAUCCAAAAGAACAGCCUGUCUCUCUUGCAUCAUGAAAUGGUACAGGGUAGAUUUUGGGAAAGAAAAGGAAAUUUUUAAUUGGAUUCUUAGUUAUUUGGAUGCAGAGAAAGCUGGUCUCUUGACUCAUCUUUUGGAUGAUGGAGGUGUUAUCAAUAUUGUAUACCAAAAUUAUGACUGGUCUAUAAAUUCAUAAACCCAAUAUUCCUCAAGUUAUCAAGCCCGCAGUAUAACAUAUAUAUCCUCCAUUUCGAAAUACUUGUUAUUAAGUAAUCGACUCGUAACAUAACAACUAAAUCUGAAAUAGAGGUAGUACUAAAAUAUGUGGAUUGUGGAUUAGAGUAGAAGUUUUGUAUGUAGAAUGGUACAUUUUGAAGAUUGGCAAUAAUCUUAUGCUCUAAGAGAAAAGUUUUUUUUACUAGAUUUGGUUCUUCAUACUCGAGGCAAUGCAUCUAUUAAGGAUAUCACCACACUUUUCCUUUUUGUUUGUAAUAGAAAUUAGAAAUAGAUUUGUAAUCCUAUAUUUAAUAUUUUUUGUUGUUGAAAAUCCUAUAUUCUAUAUAGAAGUGAAUCUUAUGUA
Molecule: RNA transcript, 2461 nt
Organism: Beta vulgaris subsp. vulgaris (sugar beet)
Lineage: Eukaryota; Viridiplantae; Streptophyta; Magnoliopsida; Caryophyllales; Amaranthaceae
Exons: 7
Source: RefSeq, a predicted model, not a curated record